UACGUAGGGUGCGAGCGUUGUCCGGAAUUAUUGGGCGUAAAGAGCUCGUAGGCGGUGUGUCACGUCGGCCGUGAAAACCUGCAGCUUAACUGUGGGCGUGCGGUCGAUACGGGCAUCACUGGAGUUCGGCAGGGGAGACUGGAAUUCCUGGUGUAGCGGUGAAAUGCGCAGAUAUCGGAAGGAACAUCAGUGGCGAAAGCGGCUUCCUGGACCAGCACCGACGUUCAGGCACGAAAGCGUGGGGAGCAAACAGG
RNAcentral lists this ribosomal RNA (254 nucleotides) under uncultured bacterium. Its description in RNAcentral is "partial 16S ribosomal RNA". It matches the Rfam family "Bacterial small subunit ribosomal RNA", at positions 524 to 776 of the family's 1533-position model. The record is from RNAcentral.